CCUUUAUUAUGGCUCAGGAUGAACGCUAGCUACAGGCUUAACACAUGCAAGUCGAGGGGCAGCGGGAUUGAAGCUUGCUUCAAUUGCCGGCGACCGGCGCACGGGUGAGUAACGCGUAUCCAACCUUCCGUACACUCAGGGAUAGCCUUUCGAAAGAAAGAUUAAUACCUGAUGGUAUGAUGAGAUUGCAUGAUAGCAUCAUUAAAGAUUUAUCGGUGUACGAUGGGGAUGCGUUCCAUUAGGUAGUAGGCGGGGUAACGGCCCACCUAGCCAACGAUGGAUAGGGGUUCUGAGAGGAAGGUCCCCCACAUUGGAACUGAGACACGGUCCAAACUCCUACGGGAGGCAGCAGUGAGGAAUAUUGGUCAAUGGACGAGAGUCUGAACCAGCCAAGUAGCGUGAAGGAUGAAGGUCCUACGGAUUGUAAACUUCUUUUAUAAGGGAAUAAACCCUCCCACGUGUGGGAGCUUGUAUGUACCUUAUGAAUAAGCAUCGGCUAACUCCGUGCCAGCAGCCGCGGUAAUACGGAGGAUGCGAGCGUUAUCCGGAUUUAUUGGGUUUAAAGGGAGCGCAGACGGGUCGUUAAGUCAGCUGUGAAAGUUUGGGGCUCAACCUUAAAAUUGCAGUUGAUACUGGCGUCCUUGAGUGCGGUUGAGGUGUGCGGAAUUCGUGGUGUAGCGGUGAAAUGCUUAGAUAUCACGAAGAACUCCGAUUGCGAAGGCAGCACACUAAUCCGUAACUGACGUUCAUGCUCGAAAGUGUGGGUAUCAAACAGGAUUAGAUACCCUGGUAGUCCACACGGUAAACGAUGGAUACUCGCUGUUGGCGAUAUACUGUCAGCGGCUUAGCGAAAGCGUUAAGUAUCCCACCUGGGGAGUACGCCGGCAACGGUGCAGCUCAAAGGAAUUGACGGA
This 914-nucleotide ribosomal RNA is filed under the name uncultured bacterium. RNAcentral's name for it is "bacterial SSU rRNA". It matches the Rfam family "Bacterial small subunit ribosomal RNA", at positions 11 to 917 of the family's 1533-position model. RNAcentral also lists the same sequence under 1 other name. The record is from RNAcentral.